AUUGAACGCUGGCGGCAGGCCUAACACAUGCAAGUCGAGCGGAUGAAGGGAGCUUGCUCCUGGAUUCAGCGGCGGACGGGUGAGUAAUGCCUAGGAAUCUGCCUGGUAGUGGGUGAUAACGUCCGGAAACGGGCGCUAAUACCGCAUACGUCCUGCGGGAGAAAGUGGGGGAUCUUCGGACCUCACGCUAUCAGAUGAGCCUAGGUCGGAUUAGCUAGUUGGUGGGGUAAAGGCCUACCAAGGCGACGAUCCGUAACUGGUCUGAGAGGAUGAUCAGUCACACUGGAACUGAGACACGGUCCAGACGCCUACGGGAGGCAGCAGUGGGGAAUAUUGGACAAUGGGCGAAAGCAUGAUCCAGCCAGGCCGCGUGUGUGAAGAAGGUCUGCGGAUUGUAAAGCACUUUAAGUUGGGAGGAAGGGCAGUAAGUUAAUACCUUGCGGUUUAGACGUUACCAACAGAAUAAGCACCGGGUAGCUUCGUG
This 484-nucleotide ribosomal RNA is filed under the name uncultured bacterium. RNAcentral's name for it is "partial 16S ribosomal RNA". It matches the Rfam family "Bacterial small subunit ribosomal RNA", at positions 30 to 507 of the family's 1533-position model. The record is from RNAcentral.